AUUGAACGCUGGCGGCAGGCCUAACACAUGCAAGUCGAGCGGAUGAAGGGAGCUUGCUCCUGGAUUCAGCGGCGGACGGGUGAGUAAUGCCUAGGAAUCUGCCUGGUAGUGGGGGAUAACGUCCGGAAACGGGCGCUAAUACCGCAUACGUCCUGAGGGAGAAAGUGGGGGAUCUUCGGACCUCACGCUAUCAGAUGAGCCUAGGUCGGAUUAGUUAGUUGGUGGGGUAAAGGCCUACCAAGGCGACGAUCCGUAACUGGUCUGAGAGGAUGAUCAGUCACACUGGAACUGAGACACGGUCCAGACUCCUACGGGAGGCAGCAGUGGGGAAUAUUGGACAAUGGGCGAAAGCCUGAUCCAGCCAUGCCGCGUAUGUGAAGAAGGUCUUCGGAUUGUAAAGCACUUUAAGUUGGGAGGAAGGGCAGUAAGUUAAUACCUUGCUGUUUUGACGUUACCAACAGAAUAAGCACCGGCUAACUUCGUG
Molecule: ribosomal RNA, 484 nt
Filed under: uncultured bacterium
Lineage: Bacteria
Description: partial 16S ribosomal RNA
Rfam family: Bacterial small subunit ribosomal RNA
Source: RNAcentral